UAUGUUAUAGGCGUCACGGGGGAAGAAGGGGAAAGGCUAGCAGGGGAAGCCUGAGGGAAGGUGGGGGAGAAGGGAACGCGCGAAGCUAGCCCUAGCUACCGCCGCCUCCGCCUGCUGGGCUGCCGCCGCAGUCGCUGCGACCUCUUCAAGGCGGAGAUGCUUUGCGCGCGGUCCAAGAUGCACUAGCCCUCGAGCGCCCUCUUCGCCACCAAAGCCCACGAGUUCUAACUGGCGAGCCUCGGCAGCCUCGAGGUGGAGUCGCUCCUGGGGCAGACCAUGAGGGUCGUCCUCCAGUUCUCGGAUGAGGUCGCGUAGCGGCUCCCGUUGGCGAGGUGGCCGCCGGAGUGGAAGCAGUGGUUCCGGAUGCCGUAGCGUCCAACGUAGUUCAAGAACCUCAGUAUAAUGGACUAAAAUCAGUGGUUCGCGGCAGUUUAGCCAACGUAGACACCGGUACGAUAUAUAACAUAUCUACUCUCGGUCUACUAGUGGUAGGGCGUGAGUAGACAUGUCUGUCUACAACGUUGGAGAUUCUUGCUCGAUUCCAUGUUCUUCGAAAACCGGUCACAACUAGAGUGUUUCCUAAAGAAGAUAUCGAUGUGUAUGGGUUAGUACGUCUCGAACGUCGUCUUACAGUGGAGACGUCCCUACUUCCUUUGUGGAAUACUUUUAAACAAACAUACCUUGUGAAAAGACUGUCUCGGCUAAGCGAGUUCCACGGCGUUACGAGACACCUCACAUCGAGAGCAAGUACCUGUGAAAUUCGUCCAGUUCGACAGUCAUAAACCGUCCCUCAAUUUACAAUAAGAGUAAAGCUCUUCUAGAGCCGUAAAACGACCCUGUGCCAUAAACUUUUCUCCGCACUUACUGGUACCUUUUCAACGUUUGCUACAACUUUGUCUCGUUUAUCAUAAACUUCUCCUUCGACCAAGGACCUUCCCUUCUUACUCACGUUAUCAUGUCUACGCUCCUAGCUAGGGAGAGAAAACCAGUGUUCUCCGACCGGCUGAAUCAGGAUUCGGACUAUAAAAACACGUCUCCAUACUAGGAUGAAUACUUCGUUGGUUCAAUGUAAAACUACUAGAGCGAGUCGCUAUACCUGUCGGAUAGUAUUAUGAAUUAAAUUAUUUCUGACAACUUUUUUCCGGUUCCCUCUACUACGAGUCCGCACUUAAGAAAUUACGUCAACCUAUAGAAUUAGUCUUACAGGGUCUUCUCUCCUUUGACUCUAAGUAUGUGACCCUAAAAGUAUUUAAACGCUUUUCGUUCAGGCGUUUACACGACCCACAAAAUCCUCCACACCGCUCACUUCGUGACCUGGAAUGACCUAAAAUGAUGUCACCCUUCGGUUUUCAAGUCUUUUCUUCCAGAUAGGUCGAAUCAGCUUGAUCGUGACGUUCCCUACAACUUUAUUCUCGAUCAAGACCUCUGGAAGGCUCUGAGAGAUCGUUACGACUACGUGAACCAAGAUAUCGAAGAGUCCUAUACUCUUUUCUCCUAUCGUUUGUACUCGGAGAACCACUACGAGGAACAAUAGUUUGACCUCAAGAAGCAUGCUUAACGUAUCUAACGGACCUAGCGUGUUUACAGCGUGUCAUACGAAUACCGGAACGACGAAACCCCUCCGUUGAAGUACGCUACCCUGACUGUCUACAAAGUUUUUAGGUGGGUCUAUCGUCGUAGCGAAGUCGAAAUUACCUUUACAUGGUCUCGUACCCACUACGUGAACGAGUAGUCAUGCCUCCGAGACGUCGUGUAUUAUGCCAAAAGGGGCUCUCCGUUCCCUUCACCUUCCGAUGAUGAGUUAGAUCCCUCAAAGACUUUAGUUAAUUUGCUAUAAUGUCGUUACGAAUGUGGCUGCCACUCUUUGUUCUACGAUAUUUAAAUAAAGACCCAAUAAAGGUUGGAGUUCUUCCUUUUGGCCGAGAGACCCUAGACCUAUGACUAAUGAUAGAGGUGCACUGUUGUCGACCACUACUAUCGAUGGUAGAAUCAAGGGGUGUACCUUUAUUACACGGGCCCCCUAGACCUCUACGGUACUCGGGUUCUGGGUGUAACUCGGGACACGGUCGUACAUUUCUCCUGAAAAGAUCCUACUUUGAAUGAAGUAAGCUGUUUGAAUAUCUUUCUUGGACAUCAAGCUAUUCCUUACACUCCGAAGUGACACUACGACUAGAUUCCGGUUCACCACCACAACCUUGAAGACGUUACCGUGGGCUACGUCGACUCUAUGUUGAAUUUUCGGGUUUGACCAACAAACCAGUUUCUUUUGUACGUCUCUGUCAAGGUUGUUGUUUUCAAUGAGGUCAACUUUUACGCUUGCUCCCUUUGUUUCUACUCUGCUUACACAGAGACACACCCCUCGACUUGACCGAAAGGAGGAGCCGUCUAAGUACGCUCCUCCUGUUGAAGUCUUCCAUAGAUCGUAAGUGCUGUCGCCUACAUCUGUUACCGACCAUGUCACCUCGUGACGAUAUGCUAGUUCUACUCUUGUCGCCACGAAUAUUUGUAAUGAGGCUUAAAACGGUCCCAGGUCAGUACCUAGGAAAACUCGUGCUGGGUCUCUUUCUUCCCGUGAUGUCCCUCCGAGAAUCGUACCUGUAGCUUGAAUGCCUGCUACGUGUCCACCUCCGUCUUUACUUUCGGCGAGACCUGCUGAUGGUCCACUAUCCAAGUCUGGACUCGUAGUAGGGCAGCACGCCGAGGGAGCGGCUCCUGGGUUCGGUCGACUGUUCCACCUAGUAACCCCUGCUCUUCGACGCGCAGCAGCCGCGACACGUCAUCGAGCCAACGGCGGCUCCCUAACAUGUCUAACGAUGUUGUAAGCAGUUAAAAACCAAAGUAGCACGCACAUAUAUAUUCCACGAAUUUACAUGUUUUUCUUCCAUAAGCAGGUAAAAAAAACAACCCUCGUUUGUCUACUAGUAAGAACCUCCGGAAACACCUACCUAUAUCCUCCUAACCUGUUCUGUCUGUCUGUCUGUCUGUGCCCAAACCGGCCAUUUGGUUCCUACUGUUCCACAUACAUAUUAUAAGUGCUAACAGAGUACAGUAAGACAACUAAUUAAACGUGUAGAGGUUAUCAAAGUUCUUUACGACGUUGAAGAAAAAAUAAAUAACAUUGAUUACGAUGUUGAACAGCAACUCAAUAAACCAUGAAGGAAAUCGUCGGAGAAACAAACAAACAAAUGGCUACUUUCGCUGGCUGUAGCAGUAGGCCUAGGAAUAGGCGUCACGGCUAGAUAACAGAAAAGAGGCUCUUAUUUGAUACUCGGCGACAACGAAAGAACAACUCGUAAACCAGAAAGGUAAACGACACGA
This 3318-nucleotide ribosomal RNA is filed under the name Triticum aestivum (bread wheat). Its description in RNAcentral is "partial small subunit ribosomal RNA". Lineage: Eukaryota; Viridiplantae; Streptophyta; Magnoliopsida; Poales; Poaceae. The record is from RNAcentral.